Brassica rapa (field mustard) is the source of this 408-nucleotide long non-coding RNA. RefSeq lists it as uncharacterized. Lineage: Eukaryota; Viridiplantae; Streptophyta; Magnoliopsida; Brassicales; Brassicaceae. The record is from RefSeq and is a predicted model, not a curated record.
CAACCACUAAACUGUAUACCUUUCUCAAAUGCCUCAGCUUCUGAGAACUUCUAGAAAAAGCAGAUCUCUAAAAACUCAAAAGCUGGUCUUUUCUUAACACUUCAAGCACAGAGACUCCAAAAGACGAAGGAGAAAUCUUGUAAAAAUUAAGUACUAGUUGAUCCCAAAGUUAAGUUCUCUACUUCUCUUCAACAUCAUCAUGCUUCACUUAUAACAACAGCUCCCAUAGAACAUUCUUCAUUUCCAAACAAAAGAUUCUUCACUACUUGACUCUUUAACAUUCUUUUCGACCAAUAAGCUAAAGCAAUAUUUUCAAGAGGGCUUCAAUCAAAUGUGGGGCUUGGUCUUGUUUUAACUUCAAGCCAACAUACCCCCUGGGGAAACCACUCCAACAUUUAAUUUACGAUG